UACAGGGGGGGCAAGCGUUGUUCGGAAUUACUGGGCGUAAAGCGUGCGCAGGCGGUUGUGUAAGACAGAUGUGAAAUCCCCGGGCUCAACCUGGGAACUGCAUUUGUGACUGCACAGCUGGAGUGCGGCAGAGGGGGAUGGAAUUCCGCGUGUAGCAGUGAAAUGCGUAGAUAUGCGGAGGAACACCGAUGGCGAAGGCAAUCCCCUGGGCCUGCACUGACGCUCAUGCACGAAAGCGUGGGGAGCAAACAGG
RNAcentral lists this ribosomal RNA (253 nucleotides) under uncultured bacterium. RNAcentral describes it as "partial 16S ribosomal RNA". It matches the Rfam family "Bacterial small subunit ribosomal RNA", at positions 524 to 776 of the family's 1533-position model. The record is from RNAcentral.